This is a long non-coding RNA of Zingiber officinale, 233 nucleotides long. RefSeq lists it as uncharacterized. The record is from RefSeq and is a predicted model, not a curated record. NCBI's taxonomy places the organism in Eukaryota, Viridiplantae, Streptophyta, Magnoliopsida, Zingiberales, Zingiberaceae. The transcript is spliced from 3 exons.
UGAUUGCAAAGCAUGUUCUAGAAGUCCAGCUAAAGAUGGUUAUAAGGAUCUUGAAAUUGUUCAGGAGCAUAGGAAGACUGAGCAUGCCGAUAGUGAUGAGAUUUGUCUUGUCGAUGUGACAACUAUCUACCCUGUUAGUCAUGGACAAUUGGAUUGUCCGACUUGUUCUCCUCUUGGAGCUAAAGAAGACUGGCAUAAGGAACUGGCAAAUGGUCAAAACAAGUUUAAUAAUA